CCAUUCUUCACUAAUCAUACCUUCUUUUUUUACAAAUAAGCAAUAAAACUAAAGCGUAGAAAUAAACUUAGGAGAACGGUUCUUAUGGAAUACCAUAAUCGCUCCGGGUGCCUAACACCUUCCCGUAGUGAAAACGACCCCCGAAUCUAGAACUUUUUAAGGGUUUUUCUCCUUUUACCCUUCCCAAGAAAAAAGAGAGAUAUCAACGGUCGAAAGGUUCAAGUCCAAUUAAUGGCUUGACACCCAAAAACCAUGAUAACACUUAGGUUAGGCUAUAACUAUUGUAUCUUUUGUUAGGUGUUCUGAUGUCUCAUGUGUGAAGUUGCUCUUGUGAUAGUGUUGUUUUAAUGAUGUUUGACUAGAUUAUGCACUAAGUAUUUUAAUGAUGUUUAUCGUGCAGAGUUUACAUAUUCAAAUUAGUUAGCACGUAUGUUAAAGCAGCUAGUCAUCCAUGGUCUUAGCUUUCCUCAAAGUGUCUUGUGUGUCAAGUUUUUUUUUCUCGCGAAACUCUUUUUCAAAGUCUUUGAAUGGAAUCAUAAAUCGAUUCAUUGACAUCUUCUGGUAUUGUUUCUUGUUGUUCAUGACAACAUGAAUCGUUUCAUGUACACUAUGAUUUUUAUCAUGUUGACUCGAAUCAAAAUAUUUUGAAAUCUUCUGAAUCGAUUCAUUUGUGUUCUCGGUCUAAUGAUUUUCCUGGAUGAAUUGUAUCAUUGUUCUAUGAUUUGUAACAAUCUUUAUCUGGGCUUCACUAAUUUGAUUCAUACCCUUGUUUGUGCUGUCUUGAAUCAUAUCGAUAUUCGUCUGGAAAACCUUUGAUUCAAUUCACAUGUUCUUUGAAUCGUAUCAAUCUUCAAAGCUUCAACUUUUCCUAUUUUCACGUGUCUGAAUCAAUUCAUACUUAGUAUGAUUCGAAUCAUGUCGUUAUUUUUGCCACUAAAAUUUCACUUGUCACUCAUGUCUAUAUAUAGCUAAAAACACAUACCUUCCAA
RNAcentral lists this long non-coding RNA (989 nucleotides) under Medicago truncatula (barrel medic). RNAcentral's name for it is "lncRNA gene38867". Lineage: Eukaryota; Viridiplantae; Streptophyta; Magnoliopsida; Fabales; Fabaceae. The record is from RNAcentral.